Molecule: small nucleolar RNA, 185 nt
Filed under: Mandrillus leucophaeus (drill)
Lineage: Eukaryota; Metazoa; Chordata; Mammalia; Primates; Cercopithecidae
Description: Small nucleolar RNA U3 (ENSMLEG00000015469.1)
Rfam family: Small nucleolar RNA U3
About the family: Small nucleolar RNAs (snoRNAs) are involved in the processing and modification of rRNA in the nucleolus. There are two main classes of snoRNAs: the box C/D class, and the box H/ACA class.
Source: Rfam by way of RNAcentral
AAAACUAUACUUUCAGGAAUCAUUUUUAUGGUUUGUUAUUGGGGAAGUUUUUCUGAACGUGUGAAGUCCCGGAAACCACGUAAGACAGUGUUUGGUGUUGUUUCACUGCAACCGCCUUUUACUGUUGAUGAUCGUUCUUCUCUCCGUUUUGGGGAGUAAAACGGAAAGAACAAGGUCUGAGUGGU